Molecule: ribosomal RNA, 333 nt
Filed under: uncultured bacterium
Lineage: Bacteria
Description: partial 16S ribosomal RNA
Rfam family: Bacterial small subunit ribosomal RNA
Source: RNAcentral
CCUACGGGAGGCUGCAGUCGAGAAUCAUUCACAAUGGGGGAAACCCUGAUGGUGCGACGCCGCGUGGGGGAAUGAAGGUCUUCGGAUUGUAAACCCCUGUCAUGGGGGAGCAAAGUAAAAAGAUAGUACAACAAGAGGAAGAGACGGCGCACUCUGGGCCAGCAGCCGCGGUAAGACAGAGGUCGCAAGCGUUGUUCGGAAUCACGGGGCGUAAAGCGUGCGUAGGCUGUUUGGUAAGUCGUGUGUGAAAGGCGCGGGCUCAACCCGCGGACGGCACAUGAUACUCCGAGACCCGAGUACUGGAGGGGGCACCGGAAUUCUCGGUGUCGCCGU